RNAcentral lists this ribosomal RNA (573 nucleotides) under Eleutheronema tetradactylum (Indian salmon). RNAcentral's name for it is "partial 16S large subunit ribosomal RNA". It matches the Rfam family "Bacterial large subunit ribosomal RNA", at positions 1845 to 2605 of the family's 2925-position model. Lineage: Eukaryota; Metazoa; Chordata; Actinopteri; Polynemidae. The record is from RNAcentral.
AUAAGAGGUCCCGCCUGCCCGGUGACGACUCUGUUUAACGGCCGCGGUAUCCUAACCGUGCAAAGGUAGCGCAAUCACUUGUCUUUUAAAUGAAGACCUGUAUGAAUGGCAUAACGAGGGCUUAACUGUCUCCUUUUUCAAGUCAAUGAAAUUGAUCUCCCCGUGCAGAAGCGGGGAUGUCUACAUAAGACGAGAAGACCCUAUGGAGCUUUAGACACAAGACAGACCACGUCACUCACCCCAAUAAAGGGCUAAAACCAGAAAGACCCUGUUCUUCUGUCUUCGGUUGGGGCGACCAUGGGGUAACAAAAACCCCCCACGUGGAUUGGGAGCUUUACCCUCUCUCUUCCUCCCAAAAUCAAGAGCGACAGCUCUAAUUAACAGAACUUCUGACCAAAAAUGAUCCGGCAACGCCGAUCAACGGACCAAGUUACCCUAGGGAUAACAGCGCAAUCCUCUUUUAGAGCCCAUAUCGACAAGAGGGUUUACGACCUCGAUGUUGGAUCAGGACAUCCUAAUGGUGCAGCCGCUAUUAAGGGUUCGUUUGUUCAACGAUUAAAGUCCUACGUGAUC